RNAcentral lists this non-coding RNA (22 nucleotides) under Arabidopsis thaliana (thale cress). Lineage: Eukaryota; Viridiplantae; Streptophyta; Magnoliopsida; Brassicales; Brassicaceae. The record is from RNAcentral.
CGAAAGGAAGGCUGCAUCGUAU